Molecule: ribosomal RNA, 200 nt
Filed under: uncultured bacterium
Lineage: Bacteria
Description: partial 16S ribosomal RNA
Rfam family: Bacterial small subunit ribosomal RNA
Source: RNAcentral
CACGUAGGGCGCAAGCGUUGUCCGGAAUUAUUGGGCGUAAAGAGCUCGUAGGCGGUCUGUUGCGUCCGCUGUGAAAACUCGGGGCUUAACCCCGAGCCUGCAGUGGAUACGGGCAGACUAGAGGUGAGGUAGGGGGAAUGGAAUUCCCGGUGUAGCGGUGAAAUGCGCAGAUAUCGGGAGGAACACCGGUGGCGAAGGCG